This 45-nucleotide non-coding RNA is filed under the name Trichobilharzia regenti. Lineage: Eukaryota; Metazoa; Platyhelminthes; Trematoda; Strigeidida; Schistosomatidae. The record is from RNAcentral.
AUCCAGUAGAUAAGUCCCAAACAGGACGAAAUGUGCAUCUUGGAU